RNAcentral lists this ribosomal RNA (274 nucleotides) under uncultured bacterium. Its description in RNAcentral is "partial 16S ribosomal RNA". It matches the Rfam family "Bacterial small subunit ribosomal RNA", at positions 523 to 796 of the family's 1533-position model. The record is from RNAcentral.
AUACGGAGGGUGCAAGCGUUAAUCGGAAUUACUGGGCGUAAAGCGUACGUAGGCGGUUUAUUAAGUCAGAUGUGAAAGCCCCGGGCUUAACCUGGGAACUGCAUUUGAAACUAGUAGACUAGAGUAUGGUAGAGGGGGGUAGAAUUCCUAGUGUAGCGGUGAAAUGCGUAGAUAUUAGGAGGAAUACCAGUGGCGAAGGCGGCCCCCUGGACCAAUACUGACGCUGAGGUACGAAAGCGUGGGGAGCAAACGGGAUUAGAAACCCGAGUAGUCC